Molecule: ribosomal RNA, 420 nt
Filed under: Staphylococcus sp. 45A(2010)
Lineage: Bacteria; Bacillati; Bacillota; Bacilli; Caryophanales; Staphylococcaceae
Also listed under: 7 other names
Description: bacterial SSU rRNA
Rfam family: Bacterial small subunit ribosomal RNA
Source: RNAcentral
GGCAACGAUACGUAGCCGACCUGAGAGGGUGAUCGGCCACACUGGAACUGAGACACGGUCCAGACUCCUACGGGAGGCAGCAGUAGGGAAUCUUCCGCAAUGGGCGAAAGCCUGACGGAGCAACGCCGCGUGAGUGAUGAAGGUCUUCGGAUCGUAAAACUCUGUUAUCAGGGAAGAACAAAUGUGUAAGUAACUGUGCACAUCUUGACGGUACCUGAUCAGAAAGCCACGGCUAACUACGUGCCAGCAGCCGCGGUAAUACGUAGGUGGCAAGCGUUAUCCGGAAUUAUUGGGCGUAAAGCGCGCGUAGGCGGUUUUUUAAGUCUGAUGUGAAAGCCCACGGCUCAACCGUGGAGGGUCAUUGGAAACUGGAAAACUUGAGUGCAGAAGAGGAAAGUGGAAUUCCAUGUGUAGCGGUGA